Leopardus geoffroyi (Geoffroy's cat) is the source of this 633-nucleotide long non-coding RNA. RefSeq lists it as uncharacterized. The record is from RefSeq and is a predicted model, not a curated record. The transcript has 3 exons. NCBI's taxonomy places the organism in Eukaryota, Metazoa, Chordata, Mammalia, Carnivora, Felidae.
CUCCUCCCAGGAUACUAUGAGAACCCUCUCCUGUACCCCCUUAUCAUUAUAAUGCAUGUCUGGGGUUUACCUAUUACACACUGAAAAAAGAAUUAGGAAACCUUUGAAAGAGACAAUCUGAUUUGGAAGAAAUUGAUUUCUCAAAAUGGAUCUGGAAGAGCAAAAGGUCCAAGAAUAACUGAGAAGCAAUUCUGAAAAAGUAGAGCGUGGAACAACCUGCCCUACCAGAUCCAAUGGAGGAUGAUUUAAUAUUGCACCUUUCUGCUGAGGAAGCCAAGAACUCUCCACUAGUACGUCCUUACUGCGCAGUGAGCCGAGGGCAGGAAACGUCAGGCCCAUUUUACGGAGAGUAGACUGAGGCCAAGUGACGAGGCCUGUUCAUUCUCUUGUUGAGAAUGCCAGACAACAUCAUAAUUUGUAGUGAUUAUGAGUCUUUGUAGUUUCUUCUUGUUAUUUUUUUUUAUUAGUGAAAAACAUUUUAUUGUUGUUAGAAAACAUUGUUUGGAAAAGUUACCCAAUAUACAACUGGAAAUCAAAGCCAUGAAUAAGAAAUAUGUGCGAAAUAAAAUGCAAGUCACUAUUAAUCUGCUUGCUAUAGAGAACACUUAAAUAAAACAAAAUACAUACACAUUA